RNAcentral lists this ribosomal RNA (433 nucleotides) under uncultured bacterium. RNAcentral's name for it is "partial 16S ribosomal RNA". It matches the Rfam family "Bacterial small subunit ribosomal RNA", at positions 29 to 507 of the family's 1533-position model. The record is from RNAcentral.
AACGAACGCUGGCGGCAGGCCUAACACAUGCCAGUCGAGCGAGAUCUUCGGGUCUAGCGGCGGACGGGUGAGUAACGCGUGGGAAUAUGCCUCUUGGUACGGAAUAGCCUCGUGAAACUGGGAUUAAUACCGUAUGUGCCCUUUGGGGGAAAGAUUUAUCGCCAAGAGAUUAGCCCGCGUUGGAUUAGGUAGUUGGUGGGGUAAUGGCCUACCAAGCCGACGAUCCAUAGCUGGUUUGAGAGGAUGAUCAUCCACACUGGGACUGCGACACGGCCCAGACUCCGAUGGGAGGCAGCAGUGGGGAAUCUUAGACAAUGGGGGCAACCCUGAUCUAGCCAUGCCGCGUGAGUGAUGAAGGCCUUAGGGUUGUAAAGCUCUUUGAGCUGGGAAGAUAAUGACGGUACCAGCAGAAGAAGCCCCGGCUAACUACGUG